Molecule: long non-coding RNA, 3702 nt
Organism: Chenopodium quinoa (quinoa)
Lineage: Eukaryota; Viridiplantae; Streptophyta; Magnoliopsida; Caryophyllales; Amaranthaceae
Exons: 3
Source: RefSeq, a predicted model, not a curated record
AAUAAGGUUAUGAGUGAGAUGAAAUUUUAAUUAAGGUAAUUUUGUAUAGUUGAAAAAAAAAAGGGAGGUUACCGUUGGUGCGUAGCAAAAGUUGGGGGUUACCAUUGAGAAUUUCCCUAAAAUUUAUUAAUAGAAAACUAAUAACUUUUGCAGUAUAAAGGGUAACUUUAAUUACUUUUAACAUAACUUUAACUCGUUUUACAAUAAAUUAACGUACACCCGCCUUUUUAGAGAAUUUGUGUUUCGUAAGUACCCAUCACUAGAAUAAGUCACGAUAGGCAUAUAUCUUUAACAUUAAUAAAAUUAAAUAUAUUAUUUUCAUGAUAAUAUUAAUAUAAAAUAUACAUCACACAUAUAUUUUCCGAUAUCUCAUAUCUCUAAUAGAAUUACACCUUAAAAUUUCCUUUACAAGAGUACAACCCAUUUGAUAUAGAUGGUAAUUGUUAAAGGACCAUCUCAAUUAUAAUUGGUCUUUUGCUCUUAACAAUUUCUAAGGUUUAAUAAUAUUCAUUUUAAUUUCAUGACAAAGCAAGAAUGUUUUAAAUGAACCAAAAUACAAGGACGGAUAUGGAGUACAAAUGUACAAUGAGGGAAAUAAUUGUCAUUUAUAAUCCAUUAAGUUCUACAAAUUGGGAUUCACUCUCACCAAAAAAAAUAAAAUUGGGAUUCCCUUAGUCAACUUCAUCCCUCAGAAACUGUACCAGCUUGUCCAGGAUUAUCUUAGGAGGCCAGGAAUCCAAUGAUACUAUGGUUUUUAGGUUAUUUUGUAUUUUACCGCCCAUAAAAACUCACUUUUUGUAAUUAUCACCCAAAAGAAAUUUUAUUUUAAAUUACCACUCAAAGAAACAAAAAAAAUACAUUUCACCACCUUUUAACACUUUCCAUAAAAAAAAAAACUUUAAAUCUAAAGGUUUACAAAAUUUUCUUCGAUUUUCUUGCCAAAAAAACAAUAUUUUGAUGUUAUGGGGGUCAUUUUCCCCCUUUGAAUACGAUUUAAAGUCAAAAAUUUACAAAAAAAAAAAUGAUUGAAAAUGCCUCAUCUUACAUACUAAAAAAAUACCUUAAUUUGCAUGACACACGCAAAAUGAGGCAUUUUUUAUAAUUAUUUGUUAAUUUUGACUUCAAAUUGGAUACUUUGGACAAAACUAACCCCCAAAACCUCUAAAAAGCAUGUUUUAACCACGAAAAUCAAUAAAAAAAAAAAUUUAACGGUUUGGUGGUGAAAUCAAUAAGGAAUAUAUGAUGCGUUCCUCGUCUCCAACACAAAAAGGACUAGUUUCAUCUUUAAGUGUCAUAGUUCUUAUAAGUGGAUUCUCUUGUAUGGGACUCGUCAUGGAACUUUUGAUGUUAACUAUGUGGAUCGCAGUAACAGCAACAACUAACCAUGACUUACAUAGUCUCACUUUACUUCCUUGAGACCUCCAAAAGGAGAGCCUAAAUUCCCUUACUGAAGAUCUGAUGUCGCCCAAAAAUCAUCAUCUUGUUCAAAAUACAAUAAUUACUGCGAGUGUUGCUUGGAUAUUCUUGCUAGGACUACUCAUCCUUUGGCAUGUCGUUCGUCUAUUAUAUAAAUUGAUCAAGCAAAUAGUACGGUGUUGGGUUUUAGAAGUGUGGAGAACGGUUCAAUAAGGCUAAGGGGAUGCAUAGCUUUGGAAUUAUGCUAUGGAUUGUUUGUCUGGUGCGUGCAAAGCAAUAAUGAAAGAUAAGGGCUGACUUCAAAUGAGCAUAUCUUAAGGUCUAGAAUUGAUAUUGAGAUGAUUAAAGUUUGAGGUUAUAGCUCAUCUCGAUUUGGUCAAGAAUCCAGGGAGUUAUGGUCGUUUUACGAAGAGUUGUCUGUGCAGUGCGGAAGUUCGACAGAACUCUAGAAAAGUUUGGUCGAACUGUUUGAAGAAAUUGAACUGCUGCUACUGACAGCCUUGUCCGACCGAACAUUUGGUAAGUUCGACCAAUCUACCCUUAGUUCGGUCUAACAGGGGAUAGGUUCGGUCGAACCUCAUGCGUUCCCCUCACUACUAGCUUUAGGUCGUUUUCCGACAGAAUCGUUCUGACGGACCUCAAAUUCCGUUGAAAAAUUCAAAUUUUCCGAUGAAUUUGGAUCCGUCAGAAUAUCAGUCGGAAAAGGUAUUUUUCGACGUAAAAUCCCUCAGAAUUAUUCCGUCGGAAGUAUGUAUUUCCGACAAAAUUUAAUUUCGUCGGAAUAAUUAAAACAUAACCAAGCUUGUUUCAUUGUAAUUCACGAAACAGAAACAAAAAAGGGGGAAGAGUGAGAAAAAGCAAACGGGAGAAAGAUAAAGAGAAAAAGAAAGAGGAAGUGGAAGAGGACUGGCGACCACCAGAUCCGCCGCAACCACCAGCUUACACCGCCUUGAUUCCUUGGCCGCCGAUCAGUAAUUAAGUGUAGUUAAUUUUGUGAUAUUUUUUUACUUUUUUUUCGGAACCCUAACCAGAACCACUGUUUUCGCAGCCACCCCCGUUCCUCCUUCAUUGCUGCCACCUAAGCCAGCUUCUGCCGCCCUUGACGCCGCUGUGAGGCACCACCGACGCCACCUCCGAUCCAUCAAGCUACCUCCAACCUCCUCCCCGCCGUCGCCGCGAUCAGAAACACCACCUUUUCCCCCUACUGAAACUUCCGGUAAGUCCUCCUACUUUCCCCCUUUUUUUUUUAAAUUUUUAAUGAAUUAAUUUCCUCCACCGCCCUUAUUUUGCAGCUACCACCGACGCCACCUCCACCAAGCUUGUCGUGCAGCCACUGCCAAGUUUAUAUCUACCCAUAAUUUAUCAGCGGUUUUUUCCGUGCAAGCGACAUUUAUUAUCGGUUUUGAGGAUAACACUAUGGAUUUCUGUCAUGGCAACAACAUACAUGAACUCAGUAAUCAGGCUAACUUAUAAAGGAGGCGGAAUUUUGUUUGCAUUAGGGAUUUCUCUCAUAGCUUGGCUAGCGUUAAUGGGAACUAUAGUUGUUACACAUAUUGUGCGAUUCAUAUGGAAGAUUAUUAGUUGGCGAAGGAGGCAAUCAAUAAUAAGAUUUUGCAAGAUGUGUUAUCCGAGAAGGUCAAAAAACACUACAAAUGAAUCAAAUUUGAUCAACGACGUAUGAUAGUCUCAACACAAGGUGCGUCGUCUUUACAGUCAUUGGCUCGUCGCGUUCUAAUCCAGACAUGUUUGUUUCCCGGUUGUUAAAUAAUAAUGUACGAGUAGUACUUUAAUUGAUUAGAUUUCACGCACUAAGCAUCAUUUUAUUCGAUCAUGUACCAUCUUCAUCAUUAGCUUGUAUGUGAAAGUUUGUUAUUUUACAUUGUAUGUGAAAUAUAUGAGCAAACAUCAAUUAUAAUUGGCCUAUCUUCAUUUAUAAUGAGAAUGCUCUAAUCUACUACAAAAUUACUUAAGCUCGCGCGUCCAAACUAAAAUGUUAUAUUCGUCUAUUUUGUAGGAGAUUUACGUUGUCAAUGUCGUUUUGUACAAAUUCUAACACCAUGCUAUGUUAUGUUUAGUCUUUCUGAUAACAUGAAUAUAUAAUGAAAAUUAUCUAAACAUAUAAAGCUUUUCUCCUUCAAUUCACAAAAUUUAUUUUUUCAUGGUUCUUUUUUAUGAUGUCCAAAACAUGUACAUCUUGCACCUAGCAGUGACGGAUCUAGGGGGUACACAGAGGUACAGUUGUACCCCCAUUCUCAAAAAAAAAAAAAAAAAAAAAAAAAAAAAAAA